CCUACGGGAGGCAGCAGUGGGGAAUAUUGCGCAAUGGGGGAAACCCUGACGCAGCAACGCCGCGUGAGUGAGGAAGGACUUCGGUCUGUAAAGCUCUGUUAAUGAGGAAAAAUGGUAGUUGGUCUAAUAGGCCGAUUAUUUGAUGGUACUCAUAGAGGAAGCACCGGCUAACUUCGUGCCAGCAGCCGCGGUAAUACGAAGGGUGCAAGCGUUGUUCGGAUUUAUUGGGCGUAAAGCGCGCGUAGGCGGACCUGCAAGUAAGAUGUGAAAUCUCGAGGCUCAACCUCGAAACUGCGUCUUAAACUACAGGUCUAGAAUCUCGGAGGGGGAAGGGGAAUUUCGCAUGUAGGGGUAAAAUCCGUAGAUAUGCGAAGGAACACCAGAGGCGAAGGCGCCUUCCUGGACGAGUAUUGACGCUGAGGCGCGAAAGCGUGGGGAUCAAACAGGAUUAGAUACCCUGGUAGUCCACGCUGUAAACGAUGAACACUAGGUAUUGGAGGAUUUGACCCCUUCAGUGCCGUAGCUAACGCGUUAAGUGUUCCGCCUGGGAAGUACGGUCGCAAGACAAAACUCAAAUGAAUUGACGG
This 587-nucleotide ribosomal RNA is filed under the name uncultured bacterium. RNAcentral's name for it is "bacterial SSU rRNA". It matches the Rfam family "Bacterial small subunit ribosomal RNA", at positions 338 to 916 of the family's 1533-position model. The record is from RNAcentral.